UCCUUACUGAGCGAGAUACCCACGGAGUCUCUCUAAUCCCUCCCAAGGCAAUGGCGUCGAACAGCAGAGAAGCGAGGAGGCGGAAGAUCUUAGAAAGAGGAUCUGACCGUUUGGCCUUUAUCACUGGUCACAUCAACGGCGUUCCUCCUCCUCCUCCUCCACCUUCUUCCGAUCCCUCUUCCCUGUCUCAAUCUCCUCUCCGCACUAGUGAUUCCUCACCGGAGACGAUUCCGCCUCGCGAUCAGAUACCUACUGAUGGAGAAACAGCUUUCACUAGUCAUCAGGAAAACAUCUCUGAGGCUUCGAUGCUUGCUAAUAUGGACCCUAUCAUCCAUCAAAGCAGAGCAGACUCUCUCAAGUAUACUGAAACAUUGGCUGAAGCCUCCUCCGCUUCAAGGGUACAACCGUCUCCUGCAACCCCAUCAGUCGUAGAUUUGGGCGCUUCUCUUGCAUUUACUCCUCUGGUUAGUUUCGUGAACACCAUCACUCCAAAACACGUUGGAGCCGCCGUUGAUGCUUCCGAAUACGCACGGAUGUUCUCAUCUCUUGUGAUUGCGCUUCUUGUCGUGCUAUCUCACCUCGGGUUCUCUUCCCUAGGCAGCAGCAUAGUAAGCUUCAGACCUGUCUUCUUGCUUCUCUUGACCGAUGCUACAAUUGUGCUGGGACGUGUUCUGCUGAGCCAUCAUGGCGAUCCUCCCUCAGCUUCAAGGCGAGAAACCUCAGUAAUGAAUGGACAAGGCAUAGCGGACCAAGUGGGCAACGCGCUGGAGAUGGUCAUGAUGAUGAAGAAGAUAAUGAACGCUGUUUCUAUGGAUUUUAGCUUGUACGCUGUGUUUCUCAUAUGUGGCCUCUUGUUCACACAAAACAUCUUUGCUUAGGUCCUCUUUGUAGGUUUCUGAUUCCUUUUUUUUUGGACAUCAUGUGAUUUCUUAUUCAUUUCUCAUACUAUUAUAGACUACGCUUAUGAUUCAUUAUGUUCUGUUUAUGGUUUUCAUCUUUUGAGUAGAAGAAGAUAUAAUGAAUGUUUUCAUCUUUAAGUA
Brassica rapa (field mustard) is the source of this 1040-nucleotide RNA transcript. RefSeq lists it as uncharacterized. The record is from RefSeq and is a predicted model, not a curated record. NCBI's taxonomy places the organism in Eukaryota, Viridiplantae, Streptophyta, Magnoliopsida, Brassicales, Brassicaceae.